UUAAUUUAGUUUGGUAAGAUUUUAAGUUGAACUAAAAUUCUUUGCUGGGCAACCAGCUAUCAUCAGGCUCGGUAGGCUUUUCACCUCUACCUCUAAAUUUUCUCACUAUUUUGGUACAUAGAAGAGUUGGCUCUGUUUGGCUAUUCAAAGGUAGCUCAUCUGAUUUCGGGGUGCUUGGCUAAGAUGCUCUUUGCCAAAUUUAUUCUAGUUAACCCAUUAUGUAAAAGGUAAAAGGUCUUAUCUUUGCUUUGUUUUACUUUAAUAGGUUCUUUCAUCUUUCCCUUGUUGUACUAUUUCUAUAGCUCUAAUAAAUAAAUUUUCUAUCUCCUAUACUAGUUUAGUGGUAAAUGAUUUAAUUAAUAUGUUGAGAAUAAUUUAGUUUGUGAUUGGUUAGGCUAGCAAUAGUUCAAAGCAUUCAAUUAUUUUGAAAUCUUCUGAAUGUAAGUCAGAUGCUUUAUUUAAGCUACACUUUGAUUAAUCCAAGCGCACUUUCUAGUACGCUUUCCUUGUUACGACUUAUCUCCUCUUAAUUUUCUUAGUGCGGGGUUAGGUACUUAUUUUUAUUAAAUAUUGAGGAGGGUGACGGGCGGUGUGUGUGUGCUUCAUUGCUCUAUUCAACUAAACACUCUACUUUUAGUUUACUGCUAAAUCCUCCUUUAUCCUAUCGAUUUCAGAUAGGGUUUCGUAUACUCUGAAUCAGAAAUUGUAGCCCAUUUCAUACCAUUUCACAAGUUACACCUUGACCUAACUUUUUUAUAUAAUAUAAUUGGGCUUACUUGUGGGCCUUUUUAGGGUUUGCUGAAGAUGGCGGUAUAUAAACUGAAUUAGCAAGAAAUGGUAAGGUAUAUCGGGGUUUAUUGAUUACAGAACAGGCUCCUCUAGAUGGAUAUAAAGCACCGCCAAGUCCUUUGAGUUUUAAGCUGUGGCUAGUGGUCCUCGGGCAAAUAAGCUUGUUUUAAACCUAUUUAUGUUUAUGGCUAUACAUAGUGGGGUAUCUAAUCCCAGUUUGUGUUAUAGCUUUAGUAUUUUAAUUGUAUAAA
Perognathus longimembris pacificus (Pacific pocket mouse) is the source of this 1040-nucleotide long non-coding RNA. RefSeq lists it as uncharacterized. The transcript has 3 exons. The record is from RefSeq and is a predicted model, not a curated record. Lineage: Eukaryota; Metazoa; Chordata; Mammalia; Rodentia; Heteromyidae.